This 316-nucleotide ribosomal RNA is filed under the name uncultured Saccharomycetes. Its description in RNAcentral is "SSU rRNA". It matches the Rfam family "Eukaryotic small subunit ribosomal RNA", at positions 1140 to 1476 of the family's 1831-position model. The record is from RNAcentral. Lineage: Eukaryota; Fungi; Ascomycota; Saccharomycetes.
AAACUUAAAGGAAUUGACGGAAGGGCACCACCAGGAGUGGAGCCUGCGGCUUAAUUCGACUCAACACGGGGAAACUCACAAGGUCCAGACACAAUAAGGAUUGACAGAUUGAGAGCUCUUUCAUGAUUUUGUGGGUGGUGGUGCAUGGCCGUUCUUAGUUGGUGGAGUGAUUUGUCUGCUUAAUUGCGAUGACGAACGAGACCUUAACCUGCUAAAUAGCUGUAACAAUAGAUUAUUGUUUUGACAGCUUCUUAGAGGGACUCGAUUUUCAAGUCGAUGGAAGUUUGAGGCAAUAACAGGUCUGUGAUGCCCUUAG